GCUGGGCGUGGUGGCGUGCACCUGUAAUCCCAGCUACUCGGGAGGCUGAGGCAGGAGAAUUGCUUGAACCCAGGAGGCUGAGGCUGCAGUGAGCUGAGAUUGUGCCACUGCACUCCAGCCUGGGCGACAGAGUAAGACUCAGUCUCAA
Unclassified non-coding RNA from Macaca fascicularis (crab-eating macaque), 148 nucleotides. It matches the Rfam family "Metazoan signal recognition particle RNA". Rfam says of the family: The signal recognition particle (SRP) is a universally conserved ribonucleoprotein. It is involved in the co-translational targeting of proteins to membranes. NCBI's taxonomy places the organism in Eukaryota, Metazoa, Chordata, Mammalia, Primates, Cercopithecidae. The record is from Ensembl.